This 253-nucleotide ribosomal RNA is filed under the name uncultured bacterium. RNAcentral's name for it is "partial 16S ribosomal RNA". It matches the Rfam family "Bacterial small subunit ribosomal RNA", at positions 524 to 776 of the family's 1533-position model. The record is from RNAcentral.
UACGGAGGAUCCGAGCGUUAUCCGGAUUUAUUGGGUUUAAAGGGAGCGUAGGCGGGUUGUUAAGUCAGUUGUGAAAGUUUGCGGCUCAACCGUAAAAUUGCAGUUGAUACUGGCAUCCUUGAGUACAGUAGAGGUAGGCGGAAUUCGUGGUGUAGCGGUGAAAUGCUUAGAUAUCACGAAGAACUCCGAUUGCGAAGGCAGCCCGCUGGACUGUAACUGACGCUGAUGCUCGAAAGUGUGGGUAUCAAACAGG